RNAcentral lists this ribosomal RNA (500 nucleotides) under uncultured bacterium. RNAcentral's name for it is "partial 16S ribosomal RNA". It matches the Rfam family "Bacterial small subunit ribosomal RNA", at positions 30 to 523 of the family's 1533-position model. The record is from RNAcentral.
AUUGAACGCUGGCGGCAUGCCUUACACAUGCAAGUCGAACGGCAGCACGGGAGCAAUCCUGGUGGCGAGUGGCGAACGGGUGAGUAAUAUAUCGGAACGUGCCCAGUCGUGGGGGAUAACGCAGCGAAAGCUGUGCUAAUACCGCAUACGAUCUAUGGAUGAAAGCGGGGGACCGCAAGGCCUCGCGCGAUUGGAGCGGCCGAUAUCAGAUUAGCUAGUUGGUGGGGUAAAGGCCCACCAAGGCGACGAUCUGUAGCUGGUCUGAGAGGACGACCAGCCACACUGGACAUGAGACACGGUCCAGACUCCUACGGGAGGCAGCAGUGGGGAAUUUUGGACAAUGGGCGCAAGCCUGAUCCAGCAAUGCCGCGUGCAGGAUGAAGGCCUUCGGGUUGUAAACUGCUUUUGUACGGAACGAAACGGUGAGCUUUAAUACAGUUUGCUAAUGACGGUACCGUAAGAAUAAGCACCGGCUAACUACGUGCCAGCCGCCGCCGCCG